ACUUACUGUCACUUAUAAAAUAUUCUAUUUGACAUUACUAUUUGAGACAUUCUACUGUCUAAGAAAUCGAAAAGGUCAGUAUUUCAUAAGAUUCAUUGAGGUUGCAGAAUAUUCUGUCUUUUUAUUUCAGAAAAGCGUAAAAGUCGCUAAUUAUAAGGAAAAAUGCAAUUUUAUGUUUCAAUAACAUUUUCACUCAUCACUAGAUGGCAUAAGUGGUAAUUUUCAGGGAGAGCGUAAAAAUAAAUUUUAAGAGCAUACAUGUACAUGUGUACAUUUAUUUAUAUGUAUGUGCAUAGCAUACACGCAUAUGUAAUAAUUUACGAUUUUUAUAAAUUAAAAUAGUGCCAUCGCAAAGCAGAUGAGACUCUUCAACAGAAACAAAUUUUUGUUUACACGCAUUUUCCUACUUUUUAUAUAAAAACAAUUAUUUUAUUACUUAAUUAUGUAUUGAAAACAAGUAAUUAAAACGAGUAUAUAAAUGUAUAUUUAAUCUGAUGUAACAUAUAAAGUUAGUAUAAAGUAACAUAUAAAAACAUGUAUACAAAUUUUUCAAUGAUAAAACUGGAAUGAUCCCUAUAUUACAUAAUUAACUUCAUAAUUACAUUGUCAUGCUUCCUUUUAUUCCUAAAAUACAAAAUAUUACAAAAGUAAUAUAAAGAUCUCAAAUCUCUUGUAAUAACCUGCCCUGUA
This is a long non-coding RNA of Megachile rotundata (alfalfa leafcutting bee), 690 nucleotides long. The record is from RefSeq and is a predicted model, not a curated record. NCBI's taxonomy places the organism in Eukaryota, Metazoa, Arthropoda, Insecta, Hymenoptera, Megachilidae.